This is a non-coding RNA of Prunus avium (sweet cherry), 464 nucleotides long. NCBI's taxonomy places the organism in Eukaryota, Viridiplantae, Streptophyta, Magnoliopsida, Rosales, Rosaceae. The record is from RefSeq and is a predicted model, not a curated record.
CUGCCAAACACAUAAUACAGUGGAAGAGGGGAGUAGAGUAGGCAGGCAGCUAGGUUAGUUUUAGUUACUAAUUCUGUUUAGUUAAGUCUAACUCCAGAAAUUGUAACAGUUGUGAAGAAAUUCCAGAAAAGGUUUUUCUUUUCGUUCAUCUUCUUCUUCAUUUUGUUCAUCAUCCUGUUCGUUUCUCUCUGAUCGGAUACUCGCAGACACAGGCGCCAGAGGCAUAAUCGGAAGCAUUAAGGUAAGCAGAAAUACUUACUGAGGAAAAAAAACAAAAGGAGGCUUCUACAUGCCGUAAUGGAAUGGAACUACAUUGAUUCAUUACUGCUUAUGUUUGUAACUCUAGUCAUUCUCUUCUUCCAUCUCAUCCCAGCCAUUUUGUGCUUUAUGCGUACCUUGGGGGUUCAAAUAUGCAAUGAGGUACAUAUUCGAAUUCUUGAACUGCAUCUGCAUGGUGGAGGUGG